RNAcentral lists this ribosomal RNA (531 nucleotides) under uncultured bacterium. RNAcentral describes it as "bacterial SSU rRNA". It matches the Rfam family "Bacterial small subunit ribosomal RNA", at positions 355 to 901 of the family's 1533-position model. The record is from RNAcentral.
UGGGGAAUCUUGGACAAUGGGGGCAACCCUGAUCCAGCCAUGCCGCGUGAGUGAUGAAGGCCUUAGGGUCGUAAAGCUCUUUCGCCUGUGAAGAUAAUGACGGUAGCAGGUAAAGAAACCCCGGCUAACUCCGUGCCAGCAGCCGCGGUAAUACGGAGGGGGUUAGCGUUGUUCGGAAUUACUGGGCGUAAAGCGCACGUAGGCGGACCAGAAAGUUGGGGGUGAAAUCCCGGGGGCUCAACCCCGGAACUGCCUCCAAAACUAUUGGUCUAGAGUUCGAGAGAGGUGAGUGGAAUUCCAAGUGUAGAGGUGAAAUUCGUAGAUAUUUGGAGGAACACCAGUGGCGAAGGCGGCUCACUGGCUCGAUACUGACGCUGAGGUGCGAAAGUGUGGGGAGCAAACAGGAUUAGAUACCCUGGUAGUCCACACCGUAAAACGAUGAAUGCCAGUCGUCGGGUAGCAUGCUAUUCGGUGACACACCUAACGGAUUAAGCAUUCCGGCCUGGGGAGUACGGUCGCAAGAUUAAAACC